UAUAAUCAUGGAAUUGACUGCGAUAGAGGGCAAGAGAGAGGUCGUGACAAAAGAAAAACUAUAGUAGAGAGAGAAAAAAUAGGAAUAAUAAAAAAUAAAAAAAAAAAAUAUUUUUUUCUACAGAAAAGAUCAAAAAUCAUAGAAAAAGGAAGAAGAUGAUAAAAUUGCACUGUUAAAAUAAAGUUGCACUAUUUUUUUUAAAAAUUUUUGCACUAUUUUAAUUGAAACUUUAUAUAUAAAUGAGCCUUUCUAUAAUUGAGUUGAGCUUUAUAUUUAGAUUAGAUUAAAAUU
Molecule: long non-coding RNA, 291 nt
Filed under: Ananas comosus (pineapple)
Lineage: Eukaryota; Viridiplantae; Streptophyta; Magnoliopsida; Poales; Bromeliaceae
Description: long non-coding RNA (ACOM_LNC039122)
Source: RNAcentral